UAAAAAGGUGAUGCUUAGAGUCUGCAAC
This 28-nucleotide small RNA is filed under the name Bombyx mori (domestic silkworm). RNAcentral describes it as "piRNA piR-bmo-2178441". The record is from RNAcentral. Lineage: Eukaryota; Metazoa; Arthropoda; Insecta; Lepidoptera; Bombycidae.